UUUUUGAUUUCUGGCGGGUUAUACUCCACCAAAGAUAAUUUUAGCUAUAUGGAGGUGGCUAAUUAUUCGCCGCAAAAACAAAAACUUUUUUUAGAAACAGACCUGAAAGUAUCGAAAUGGGAUCAAGAUGACAUCAUUACAGUAAACGUAGACCAGAUAAGAGCCUAACUAAAAGGCAGAUCAAAUUACGAAUGGACCAUUUAAAUGUUGAGGAGAAAUUAGCACUAGAAGAACUUCAUCGGGAAUUCCCGAAUAUGUAGAAGGUGAAAAACUAUCUUUUACCAACUCGGUGAAACAUAGAAUAAGAACAUUAGAUAACAUUUCAUUAUACACAAGACCCUUUAGAUACAGUCCGAUUGAAACUAAAGAAAUUCACCAACAGAUCGUGAAACUUCUUGAUCAAAACAUAAUUAAACAUAGCCAUUCUCCAUGGAGUGCACCAUUGUUUCUAGUUUCAAAGAAACUAGAUGCUUCAAAUAAAAAAAAUGGAAAUUGGUAGUGGACUACAGAAAAACUAAAUGAAAAGACCAUUAAGGAUAAAUAUUCAAUGCCAAACACGAAUGACAUUUUAGAUAAGAUAGGCAGAGCAAAAUAUUAUUCAACCCUAGACUUGCCCAGCGGAUACCAUCAAAUCGAAAUGGACCCGAACGAUACGGAAAAAACCACCUUUUCCUACAGUAAUGGACAUUUUGAAUUUAUAAGAAUGCCAUUUGGGUCAACAAAUGCUCCGGCCACAUUUCAGAUGGUAAUGGACAACGUGUUUGCAGAGUUUAAUGAACAUAUCACAGACCUCAGAAGGGUAUUUACUAAACACACAAAGGCAAAGUUAAAAUUACAAUCGCAGAAAUCAGAAUUUUUAAGAAAAUAGAUCGAAUGCUUAUCUUGUUACAGAAGAUGGGAUUAAGCCCAACCCUAACAAACUAAGGGCGAUCAAAUCUUUUCCUAUGCCAAAAACAAAGAAGGAGAUCAAGUCUUUUUUAGGACUAUUGAAAGGCAAGAAAUCCCCAGUAAAUAUCGGCGAAUACUAUAAAAAGGCCUUUGGAAAUAUUAAAACAUUGUUAUGUAACGAUCCAUUGCUACAGUACCCAGACAAUUCAAAAACCUUUAUACUAACCAAUAGCCUUUUCACACUGGG
This is a long non-coding RNA of Drosophila obscura, 1135 nucleotides long. RefSeq lists it as uncharacterized. The transcript is spliced from 3 exons. The record is from RefSeq and is a predicted model, not a curated record. Lineage: Eukaryota; Metazoa; Arthropoda; Insecta; Diptera; Drosophilidae.